UCUCUUCCUCUUCUCGUUGCUGUGUUUCCGUGGCUUGAAAAGGGGAUCAAAUCAGGAGUUUAUUUUCAAGAUUAAAGGAACUUACUUGUAAAGCCACGAGGUAUGAAUGUUGAGGCUGUGGAGCUAGGCAC
Molecule: long non-coding RNA, 131 nt
Organism: Juglans regia (Persian walnut)
Lineage: Eukaryota; Viridiplantae; Streptophyta; Magnoliopsida; Fagales; Juglandaceae
Exons: 3
Source: RefSeq, a predicted model, not a curated record